This is a non-coding RNA of Pelobates cultripes (western spadefoot toad), 558 nucleotides long. NCBI's taxonomy places the organism in Eukaryota, Metazoa, Chordata, Amphibia, Anura, Pelobatidae. The record is from the annotation of a GenBank genome assembly.
CCCUACUUAACGCCAGAUGCGACUAAGGUGUUGGUCCAUUCCACUGUCCUUUCUCGCCUUGACUACUGUAAUCCGCUUCUCAGUGGUCUUACGUGCUCCCAACUUGCGCCGUUACAGUCCAUAAUGAAUGCGGCGGCGAGGCUCAUGCCUCACCCUUCUGUCAGUCCCUACAUUGGCUUCCUAUAAAAUAUAGAGCUCAAUUUAAAAUUCCGGUUCUUGCUUUCAAAUCUCUACAUAAUGCUGCUCCCACCUAUCUAUCCUUCCUUAUACACAAGUAUGUCCCGUCUAGGCCCUUACGAUCUGCUGAAGACUUACACCUAUCUUCUGUCCUUACUCCCACCUCUGAUGCCCGCCUUCAAGAUUUCUCGAGGGCUGCACCGUUCCUGUGGAACUCGCUUCCCUCCUCUGUAAGAUGCUCACCCAGUCUCCACUCCUUCAAAAAAUCGUUAAAAACCCACUUCUUCAUAAAAUCGUAUCAAUUAAACUGUUAAUAGCUCCUGACUGAUUCCUCUUCUGCAACUGUCACUAGUCUAAUACUAUCCUUACCUUUCUGUGUCA